GGUUAAGCGACUAAGCGUACACGGUGGAUGCCCUGGCAGUCAGAGGCGAUGAAGGACGUGCUAAUCUGCGAUAAGCGUCGGUAAGGUGAUAUGAACCGUUAUAACCGGCGAUUUCCGAAUGGGGAAACCCAGUGUGUUUCGACACACUAUCAUUAACUGAAUCCAUAGGUUAAUGAGGCGAACCGGGGGAACUGAAACAUCUAAGUACCCCGAGGAAAAGAAAUCAACCGAGAUUCCCCCAGUAGCGGCGAGCGAACGGGGAGCAGCCCAGAGCCUGAAUCAGUGUGUGUGUUAGUGGAAGCGUCUGGAAAGGCGCGCGAUACAGGGUGACAGCCCCGUACACAAAAAUACACAUACUGUGAGCUCGAUGAGUAGGGCGGGACACGUGGUAUCCUGUCUGAAUA
RNAcentral lists this ribosomal RNA (404 nucleotides) under Escherichia coli. RNAcentral describes it as "partial 23S ribosomal RNA". It matches the Rfam family "Bacterial large subunit ribosomal RNA", at positions 1 to 444 of the family's 2925-position model. The record is from RNAcentral. Lineage: Bacteria; Pseudomonadati; Pseudomonadota; Gammaproteobacteria; Enterobacterales; Enterobacteriaceae.